CGAUGCAGCGACGCCGCGUGAGGGAUGACGGCCUUCGGGUUGUAAAUCUCUUCAGCAGGGACGAAGCGCAAGUGACGGUACCUGCAGAGAAGCGCGGCCAACUACGUGCCAGCAGCCGCGGUAAGACGUAGGGCGCGAGCGUUGUCCGGAUUUAUUGGGCGUAAAGAGCUCGUAGGCGGCUUGUCGCGUCGACUGUGAAAACCCGCGGCUCAACCGCGGGCCUGCAGCCGAUACGGGCAGGCUAGAGUUCGGUAGGGGAGACUGGAAUUCCUGGUGUAGCGGUGAAAUGCGCAGAUAUCAGGAGGAACACCGGUGGCGAAGGCGGGUCUCUGGGCCGAUACUGACGCUGAGGAGCGAAAGCGUGGGGAGCGAACAGGAUUAGAUACCCUGGUAGUCCACGCUGUAAACGUUGGGCGCUAGGUGUGGGGGACCUCUCCGGUUCUCUGUGCCGCAGCUAACGCAUUAAGCGCCCCGCCUGGGGAGUACGGCCGCAAGGCUA
RNAcentral lists this ribosomal RNA (499 nucleotides) under uncultured Actinomycetes bacterium. RNAcentral describes it as "bacterial SSU rRNA". It matches the Rfam family "Bacterial small subunit ribosomal RNA", at positions 384 to 896 of the family's 1533-position model. Lineage: Bacteria; Bacillati; Actinomycetota; Actinomycetes. The record is from RNAcentral.